GGGCCCGUAGUCUAGCUGGCUAGGACGCCGCCCUGACGCGGCGGAGGUCACCGGUUCAAAUCCGGUCGGGCCCA
RNAcentral lists this transfer RNA (74 nucleotides) under Hestiella sp. (SeqCode). RNAcentral's name for it is "Candidatus Hestiella sp. tRNA-Val". It matches the Rfam family "tRNA". From Rfam's summary of the family: Transfer RNA (tRNA) molecules are approximately 80 nucleotides in length. Their secondary structure includes four short double-helical elements and three loops (D, anti-codon, and T loops). Further hydrogen bonds mediate the characteristic L-shaped molecular structure. tRNAs have two regions of fundamental functional importance: the anti-codon, which is responsible for specific mRNA codon recognition, and the 3' end, to which the tRNAs corresponding amino acid is attached (by aminoacyl-tRNA synthetases). tRNAs cope with the degeneracy of the genetic code in two manners: having more than one tRNA (with a specific anti-codon) for a particular amino acid; and 'wobble' base-pairing, i.e. permitting non-standard base-pairing at the 3rd anti-codon position. Lineage: Archaea; Thermoproteati; Thermoproteota; Thermoprotei; Acidilobales; Acidilobaceae. The record is from RNAcentral.